Oxyura jamaicensis (ruddy duck) is the source of this 3853-nucleotide RNA transcript. It is a transcript of the gene named linker for activation of T cells family member 2, with no coding region annotated. The transcript is spliced from 11 exons. Lineage: Eukaryota; Metazoa; Chordata; Aves; Anseriformes; Anatidae. The record is from RefSeq and is a predicted model, not a curated record.
GACAGGCGGGUGGCACCGAGGCUUUGGGGACCCGCAGGUAGUCCCGACGGCGCGGUGAGCUCGUAGAUCCUGGGCUGGAGCUCGGUGAGUGUUUUAGCGAGUGUUUGGGGUCAUCCCUGCCAUAUCCCUCUGAAACGCACCGUGUUAGUCCCUGCUGCCGCUCAUGACCACCUUCUGAUGAGUUCCGAGGUAGGAAAAUUGCCAAAUAUAACCCCUCAGCAGCAUUUAGACCCCUCGAGAUGAGAGCCCACCACAAGCAAUCCAGUUUGCCAGUUUUACGCUGUUAUUUUUUACAUAUCCUUCUCCCCUCUGCCGAUGGCAGUGUGGCUUUUUUAAACUGUAUUCUUUCUGCAUUUGUUUCUGCUAAAAGAUUCUGGGCGUUUUGGGGUCCCCAUAGCACGAGCAGGCCGUGCUGAGCUGCCAGCCCCACAGAUGUGUCCGGUCCUGCUUUGGGCUCCUGCUUCUGGGACCACUGCACCCCACCGUGUCUUCCCCUCCAAGGCCCAAUCCCUUAAAUAGCUGGUUUUCACUACGCUUUUUGUUUUUUCCUUGUUUUACGGCUUAUUGGCAUCUUAUGAAUGUGUUUAUUUUACUCUAUAUUAGCGCUUGAAAUUACUAACCGCAGACAGAAAAUAGAUCUUCGUCCUUGCAUCAGUUCUCUCCUGUGAUCAAUGUUCAGCGUAGUGGGGGCUGUGAGGUAGACGCGUUAGGAGAACUGGGGAUAAUUGUGGGAUAAUCCUGUGUGAUAUCAGCUCACGUUCGUUACUCGGGGGUAAAUAGGAGUGCUUGUUACGCAGGAGUACUUACUUACAGGCACACAAGUUCCCUGCAUCUUCGGUGCCUAACCUUGCAUCCCCCUGGACUCUGCAGGGAAGGGCACUGCGUGGCUCGAUGCUGCCCGAACCAAGGGAAGUUAGGGACAAUUACAAGAUAUUUCCAUGGAAUACGUCCUUAUGCUGACGUGCAUACAUGUGAUUAGGAUUUUGUGCUGUAUUUUCCAGCUGAGGCUUUAAAAAGCAUUUUAUAAAGUGCUUGUCUGUGAGGGAGUUCAUUUAUCAAUUCGGUUGUCCCUCUUGUCCUGUGUCCCACUGAGAUGUGCCUCCCGCUCUCCUGGCGUAAAAUAAAGCAUGCUCUACUUGAGUAGCCGUACAAAAGCAGAUCGUAUCUAUACCACAGCAGUUUUCUCAAGAAAAAUUUACACUGACAUCAAAUCUGGUAGAAAAUGGGGCAUGCAGACCUCUGGAAGGAGCUUGCCUGAAGGCUCAGCGCUGGUCACUGAAGUGGUUCCAACCACAGGAGCUUCCUUUGGUCUGAGACUUCAAUUUCUAAGUGGAUGAGACUUUCUGCGGCAAUCUGUGCAACGUAGACAAACAGAAAGUCGCGGUUCUUUUCUUAGCAACGUUAGAGCCACUGGGUCAAGCUGAAUAUUGCAUCUGUUCAAUAAUUCCAUGUUCUACAUUUCACACAGUGAGUUUUUAAAUAAACUCUCCGCUUUAUAGUUCGUGCCAGUGACUCAUUCAGUCAGUCUGAAUUAGUCUUAAUUUAUUGCAAAUUGAAGACCAUGAAACUAACUUUCAGGAGGGGAGGGAGGGCGGUUUGAUAUUUGCUUUUGGGGGCAUUUUUACAGAUAGGUUUAGUGUAUGGCCUAAACCAGCAUUUUAAGUCUUUAUCUUGCAGUGAAAACUUACAGGGUGGGCUUGAUAUCUGCAGAGAGCUAAAAAUGACUUCAUCAGAAAUGAUCUGAUAGAAUAAAAAAAUCAUUUGAACUGUGCCACAUCAAUGCGCUCCUCGCUCUUCUGGAUUUUUGGCAAAAAGUUUAAGUACUCUUAAAGGGUAAUUAAGUAAGCUUCUCACCCGUCAUGCUUCUCCAGGAAAGCUGCCCCAGACUUUCCAUCCCUCUGGCAAUCAGGGAUUUUGUUUCUAGACUGUGCACAUUCAGCUUACACCCUCACAUUGUCACACCGGUGUUGCCUUUUAAAGUUAAAUAGCAUUUCACACUUGGGUGUUUCUGUCCCAGACAGACUGACAGUGAAUGGCUGUGUGACUUCAGCAGACUUAAAACCAGCGGCCUUCCAGCCCUCCCUGCAGAAACCAGCUCUCCUCCCAGGGCUGCUGAUGGUGGCCCCGUUUUUGGGGACCAUCUUGUAACUCCCACUGCUGAAUGAAAGAAAACCCUCCAGGUAGGGCUAGAAAGCUCCUGCUCCAGCAGCCCAGGUGAGACAACUUACUGUACACACUGCAGGACCUUUUGCAAGUCACUUUCUUCUUCCCAUUAAAAAAAAUAAAAAAGCUUGUUUCAUUGCUAGACAUAGCCAAGGAAGUGAGAAGAGAUGUCCUGUUCAGGUAGGCGUGCUGCAGGGAUUGUUGCUUUGCCCGCAAUACGUUUAUUUACAGUGGGUGCCUCGAUUCAUUGCCCACAUUCAUUUAUUUACUCUGGGUGCUGCUCUUGGGGCCGUGGGUCGUGGGCAUCGCCUGCUGCGGGAGGUGCCACCGGCACCACCUUCCUCCUGUGAGGAGAAACUUCUGCCAGUGCUAAAAAGGAGACAAACACACAGGAGAAGGGAUGUCCAUACAAACAGGACGGGCCAUACCUUCCCUCUCUGAAUUUUACUUCUGAAGAUCUGAAACUCCUCAGAAGUUUUUUUUUUUCUACAUGCUUGACUUUAGCUCAUAGAAAGCAAGCCCGCUCAGCAGGCCCUUCACUCUCUGCAUCUUUCUCUUGUGCUCAGGCCUCGUCACAGACCACAGAGGCUCGAGCCUAUUUAUUCUCCUCGCCCAUCUACCCAAGGCAGAGAGUGGGGAAAGCACGUUCAGCCUUCAAGAUAACUUAUUUAUAACCCGCCAGCAGUGAGCUGGACACCGCGGGGCCAUGGCGCAGCUGGAGCUGCUGUGGGCGGCCGCUGCACUGAUGCUGCUCGGGGCGGCCGUCAGCGCCUGUGUCAGGUGCCAGCUCUCCGCUACGAAGCGAGAAAAGAAGCAGAGCAAGCAGACAAGUCAGCUCGGAAGCCAGCAGAGCUUUGAGGUCAUUCGGUCCCACUCCAUGCUAGCUGUAACACGAAGGCUAGACCAGAUUAAGGAACCUGAAAACUUCACAAUAACAAGGAAAGCCCAUGAGGAGCUCGGUGCCUCCUGUCCCCUUGGCUUUGAGAGCAGGACCGAGCCCCGGUACCAGAACUUCCUGACAGAGGACUACGUCUGUGAGGAUGCUGCCUACGUGGAGCCCAUCUCUGUGGAUUUCUACGAGCAUGCCAAGUGCUUCACCUCACCCUACGCCAAAGAGGAGGAUUCCCAUUCCUACCAGAAUGUCUUCAUUGGGGACGCCUGUGGCUCCGAGCUGGGUACGUGCAGCGCUUUGUGUCGAGAUUCAUCGCGGUUUAGCACCCAGCUCGGGUUGCUCAUCACUGCCAGCACAAGGUGCUGGACCACAGGGGCUUUGAGCUUCUGUCCUGGGCUGUCACAAUUGAAAAAUGAAGCUGUUUUGCUUUCCUUUGGUGCUACGCACACCGUUCUGUUUGGAGUGAUGAGGGGAGGCAGGAGCGUGGGGCUGCCCCGAGCCCGUCCGUGCCUGCAGAAACCAGGGCUGGGAGGUGACUGAGGCAGUGUCACCAGCCUGUGGUGGGACGGUGGCACUGGGAGGGGGUUCCCAGGGCUCGCUUUUAGCCCACUCACUGUUCAGCAUCGUCCUGUCCAAACUCUGCUUACUCACAGAUGACGUGGAUGACUACGAGAACAGCUCGGCCAUACACGCGUGGAAAAUCGAGCAAACUUCAGCGCUGUACAUAGAGAGCCAGGACGAGGAGCCGGACUAUGUUAACACUGACCCCGCGUCGGACCUCACCCUGCUGUCAAAGCA